CGGCAACAGCUCAAAUUUGAAAUCUGGCUCCUUUGGGGGUCCGAGUUGUAAUUUGUAGAGGAUGUUUCGGGCGCGGUGCCGACCUAAGUCCUUUGGAACAGGGCGUCAUAGAGGGUGAGAACCCCGUAUGCGGUCGGCGGCCAACCCCAUGUGAAACUCCUUCGAC
This 166-nucleotide ribosomal RNA is filed under the name Teloschistaceae sp. Its description in RNAcentral is "partial large subunit ribosomal RNA". It matches the Rfam family "Eukaryotic large subunit ribosomal RNA", at positions 99 to 261 of the family's 3401-position model. Lineage: Eukaryota; Fungi; Ascomycota; Lecanoromycetes; Teloschistales; Teloschistaceae. The record is from RNAcentral.